AGCCCUUGACAUCCCGGUCGCGGACUCCAGAGACGGAGUUCUUCAGUUCGGCUGGACCGGAGACAGGUGCUGCAUGGCUGUCGUCAGCUCGUGUCGUGAGAUGUUGGGUUAAGUCCCGCAACGAGCGCAACCCCCGUCUUAGUUGCUACCAUUUAGUUGAGCACUCUAAGGAGACUGCCGGUGAUAAGCCGCGAGGAAGGUGGGAUGACGUCAAGUCCUCAUGGCCCUUACGGGCUGGG
Molecule: ribosomal RNA, 239 nt
Filed under: uncultured bacterium
Lineage: Bacteria
Description: partial 16S ribosomal RNA
Rfam family: Bacterial small subunit ribosomal RNA
Source: RNAcentral